Long non-coding RNA from Oryza sativa Japonica Group (Japanese rice), 677 nucleotides. RefSeq lists it as uncharacterized. The record is from RefSeq and is a predicted model, not a curated record. Lineage: Eukaryota; Viridiplantae; Streptophyta; Magnoliopsida; Poales; Poaceae.
GAGAAAAAACCGUCGCUCCCAAAUCCCCCAUCGUUGCGCCCCCUCCUCUCUACAACCAACCUCGCCCUGCCCCCCAUCGCCGCGCCCCCUCCUCUCUGCAACCAACCUCGCCCUGCCCCCCAUCGCCGCGCCCCAUCACUAGCGCUGCAGACGCCUCACUCCCUCCCUCCUCGACCAUCGCCGGAUCGCGGCAGCCGGCCCCCGACGACGCUCUCGCUCCAUCCUCCCCAAUCCCGGCGGCUCCUCGGCGGGUUCGUCACCACGGUGACUGAGCCCCCGCCUCGCCCUUGCGUUCUGUCCGUCAUGACUCCUCGCCCCCACGCCGCUAGCCAGAAUCAUUCCUGUGCGACCGGAGACCCUGACAUUACCUCUCGCUACCAGCACCGCUGUCUUCUCCCUUUGUCGAGAUAUCCAUUUUCUCUGUCUUGUCCUCCGUUGAAUGUCUCCCUGCCGAUUCUGUGGGAUUGGGUGAUUUGGUGUGGAGCUAAUCAUUCGGUUGAUGGUCUAAUCGUGCAAAGGGACAAACUAUAGUCUAAAGUCAGACAUGCCAGAAAACUAUAAAUAUCGAUUUGUUCUUUUCUUAUGUGUUUGUUUUUAGGCUACAAUGGAAGUAUUGACUGCCAUAUACUCGUGAAUUAAUCUAUAUGAAUUGUUUAUGUUGGCCAUAUGCCAAUAUA